CAGUCGCGCGGUAAUACGUAGGGGGCAAGCGUUAUCCGGAAUUACUGGGUGUAAAGGGAGCGUAGACGGUUAAACAAGUCUGAAGUGAAAUGCCGGGGCUCAACCCCGGAGCUGCUUUGGGAACUGUAGAACUGGAGUGUCGGAGGGGUAAGCGGAAUUCCCAGUGUAGCGGUGAAAUGCGUAGAUAUUGGGAGGAACACCGGCGGCGAAGGCGGCUUACUGGACGACAACUGACGUUGAGGCUCGAAGGCGUGGGUAGCAAACAGGAUUAGAUACCCGCGUAGUCCCUGUCUCUUAUACA
This 301-nucleotide ribosomal RNA is filed under the name uncultured bacterium. RNAcentral's name for it is "partial 16S ribosomal RNA". It matches the Rfam family "Bacterial small subunit ribosomal RNA", at positions 509 to 808 of the family's 1533-position model. The record is from RNAcentral.